AGUGAACGCUGGCGGUAGGCCUAACACAUGCAAGUCGAACGGCAGCACAGUAAGAGCUUGCUCUUACGGGUGGCGAGUGGCGGACGGGUGAGGAAUACAUCGGAAUCUACUUUUUCGUGGGGGAUAACGUAGGGAAACUUACGCUAAUACCGCAUACGACCUACGGGUGAAAGCAGGGGAUCUUCGGACCUUGCGCGAUUGAAUGAGCCGAUGUCGGAUUAGCUAGUUGGCGGGGUAAAGGCCCACCAAGGCGACGAUCCGUAGCUGGUCUGAGAGGAUGAUCAGCCACACUGGAACUGAGACACGGUCCAGACUCCUACGGGAGGCAGCAGUGGGGAAUAUUGGACAAUGGGCGCAAGCCUGAUCCAGCCAUACCGCGUAGGUGAAGAAGGCCUUCGGGUUGUAAAGCCCUUUUGCUGGGAAAGAAAAGCAGCAGGUUAAUACCCCGCUGUUCUGACGGUACCCAAAGAAUAAGCACCGGCUAACUUCGUG
RNAcentral lists this ribosomal RNA (492 nucleotides) under uncultured bacterium. Its description in RNAcentral is "partial 16S ribosomal RNA". It matches the Rfam family "Bacterial small subunit ribosomal RNA", at positions 29 to 507 of the family's 1533-position model. The record is from RNAcentral.